RNAcentral lists this ribosomal RNA (497 nucleotides) under uncultured bacterium. RNAcentral describes it as "partial 16S ribosomal RNA". It matches the Rfam family "Bacterial small subunit ribosomal RNA", at positions 28 to 507 of the family's 1533-position model. The record is from RNAcentral.
GAUGAACGCUGGCGGCGUGCCUAAUACAUGCAAGUCGAGCGAACGGACGAGAAGCUUGCUUCUCUGAUGUUAGCGGCGGACGGGUGAGUAACACGUGGAUAACCUACCUAUAAGACUGGGAUAACUUCGGGAAACCGGAGCUAAUACCGGAUAAUAUUUUGAACCGCAUGGUUCAAAAGUGAAAGACGGUCUUGCUGUCACUUAUAGAUGGAUCCGCGCUGCAUUAGCUAGUUGGUAAGGUAACGGCUUACCAAGGCAACGAUGCAUAGCCGACCUGAGAGGGUGCUCGGCCACACUGGAACUGAGACACGGUCCAGACUCCUACGGGAGGCAGCAGUAGGGAAUCUUCCGCAAUGGGCGAAGGCCUGACGGAGCAACGCCGCGUGAGUGAUGAAGGUCUUCGGAUCGUAAAACUCUGUUAUUAGGGAAGAACAUAUGUGUAAGUAACUGUGCACAUCUUGACGGUACCUAAUCAGAAAGCCACGGCUAACUACGUG